Molecule: ribosomal RNA, 663 nt
Filed under: uncultured marine Prymnesiales
Lineage: Eukaryota; Haptophyta; Prymnesiales
Description: SSU rRNA
Rfam family: Eukaryotic small subunit ribosomal RNA
Source: RNAcentral
GCGACUAUACUGUGAAACUGCGAAUGGCUCAUUAAAUCAGUUAUGGUUUAUUUGAUGGUACCUACUACUUGGAUAACCGUAGUAAUUCUAGAGCUAAUACAUGCAGGAAGACCCGACUUCGGAAGGGUUGUAUUUAUUAGAUAAGAAACCAAUCCAGCUUGUUGGUUGCGUGCCGAGUCACAAUAACUGCUCGAAUCGCACGGCUCUACGCCGGCGAUGGUUCAUUCAAAUUUCUGCCCUAUCAGCUUUCGAUGGUAGGAUAGAGGCCUACCAUGGCGUUAACGGGUAACGGAGAAUUAGGGUUCGAUUCCGGAGAGGGAGCCUGAGAAAUGGCUACCACAUCCAAGGAAGGCAGCAGGCGCGUAAAUUGCCCGAAUCCUGACACAGGGAGGUAGUGACAAGAAAUAACAAUACAGGGCUACUUCUCGUCUUGUAAUUGGAAUGAGUACAACUUAAAAAAUCUUCACGAGGAUCAACUGGAGGGCAAGUCUGGUGCCAGCAGCCGCGGUAAUUCCAGCUCCAAUAGCGUAUAUUAAAGUUGUUGCAGUUAGAACGCUCGUAGUCGGAUUUCGGGGCGUUCCGACCGGUCUGCCGAUGGGUAUGCACUGGCCGGAGUGUCCUUUUUGCCGGAGACCGUGCCUACUCUUAACUGAGCGGGGGCGG